This 513-nucleotide long non-coding RNA is filed under the name Homo sapiens (human). RNAcentral describes it as "non-protein coding lnc-SNX11-2:5". Lineage: Eukaryota; Metazoa; Chordata; Mammalia; Primates; Hominidae. The record is from RNAcentral.
UUUUCUAACCAAUUUCGAGUGCAAGUGCACAGUGUCAGCUAAAGAAACACAACUGCGGGUUUUCUGCAGAGCAAAAUGGUUCUGAAAUGUCACUGAAUAGCUCACAAAGGACGCCAAUCUACGACAACAGAGACAUAAGCAUAUAGGAGAAAGGGUCCACACAUCCUCCUUUCAAAGUGUGGAGAAAAGAGAGAGAAAGGGAGAGAAGAGUCAUGGACCCUACUUUAUGGUUGCCAUGGAUGCAAGGUCAGCCUUCCACACUUGGAUCUACCAGCAGAGUUCAGACAGGUCAACGUGUGACCGGCUCAGGCCCUGGGGUUAAAAGUUCAAGCAGCUAUGGAAAAACCAAUAUGUCCACGCAGAGUAUGCUGUACAAUUUAUUUCAAUUUACAUCAAGCCAUGCAUAUAAAAUUUAGAUAAAUUCCAUUCAGAUCUGAUGUUGCCUGACACACAAUGUAUGCAAACAGAUGUCUGUGGGGCUUUUUCUGUGCUUUAGAAAACAACAUUAAAUUU